GUACUACUGAGGAGUCCCAUACUAGGACGAAACGGCCGUCCAGUGC
Molecule: non-coding RNA, 46 nt
Organism: Schistosoma margrebowiei
Lineage: Eukaryota; Metazoa; Platyhelminthes; Trematoda; Strigeidida; Schistosomatidae
Source: Rfam